GUGUCAGCCGCCGCGGUAAUACGGAGGGUGCAAGCGUUAUCCGGAAUCAUUGGGUUUAAAGGGUCCGCAGGCGGGCAUAUAAGUCAGUGGUGAAAGCCUACAGCUCAACUGUAGAACUGCCAUUGAUACUGUAAGUCUUGAAUUCGGUCGAAGUGGGCGGAAUGUGUAGUGUAGCGGUGAAAUGCAUAGAUAUUACACAGAACACCGAUAGCGAAGGCAGCUCACUAGGCCUGGAUUGACGCUCAGGGACGAAAGCGUGGGGAUCAAACAGGAUUAGAUACCCUGGUAGUCCACGCUGUAAACGAUGAUUACUCGUUUUCGGCGAUAUACAGUCGGAGACUAAGCGAAAGUGAUAAGUAAUCCACCUGGGGAGUACGACCGCAAGGUUGAAACUCAAAGGAAUUGACGGGG
RNAcentral lists this ribosomal RNA (411 nucleotides) under uncultured prokaryote. RNAcentral's name for it is "bacterial SSU rRNA". It matches the Rfam family "Bacterial small subunit ribosomal RNA", at positions 505 to 918 of the family's 1533-position model. The record is from RNAcentral.